GCCGCAGUCGCAUAAUCUGGUAGUGCACCGGUCUCGAAAACCGGCUUCCGUGAGGAUUUCUCGGUUCAAAUCCGAGCUGCGGCG
This 84-nucleotide transfer RNA is filed under the name Candidatus Woesearchaeota archaeon. RNAcentral describes it as "tRNA-Ser". It matches the Rfam family "tRNA". From Rfam's summary of the family: Transfer RNA (tRNA) molecules are approximately 80 nucleotides in length. Their secondary structure includes four short double-helical elements and three loops (D, anti-codon, and T loops). Further hydrogen bonds mediate the characteristic L-shaped molecular structure. tRNAs have two regions of fundamental functional importance: the anti-codon, which is responsible for specific mRNA codon recognition, and the 3' end, to which the tRNAs corresponding amino acid is attached (by aminoacyl-tRNA synthetases). tRNAs cope with the degeneracy of the genetic code in two manners: having more than one tRNA (with a specific anti-codon) for a particular amino acid; and 'wobble' base-pairing, i.e. permitting non-standard base-pairing at the 3rd anti-codon position. Lineage: Archaea; Nanobdellati; Candidatus Woesearchaeota. The record is from RNAcentral.